AAAAGGUGGCUAUACUACCGCUUUUGGAUGGGCCCGCGGCGCAUUAGCUAGUUGGUGGGGUAAAGGCUUACCAAGGCAAUGAUGCGUAGCCGAACUGAGAGGUUGAUCGGCCACAUUGGGACUGAGACACGGCCCAAACUCCUACGGGAGGCAGCAGUAGGGAAUCUUCCACAAUGGGCGGAGGCCUGAUGGAGCAACGCCGCGUGGGUGAAGAAGGUCUUCGGAUCGUAAAACCCUGUUGUUAGAGAAGAAAGUGCGUGAGAGUAACUGUUCACGUUUCGACGGUAUCUAACCAGAAAGCCACGGCUAACUACGUGCCAGCAGCCGCGGUAAUACGUAGGUGGCAAGCGUUAUCCGGAUUUAUUGGGCGUAAAGGGAACGCAGGCGGUCUUUUAAGUCUGAUGUGAAAGCCUUCGGCUUAACCGGAGUAGUGCAUUGGAAACUGGGAGACUUGAGUGCAGAAGAGGAGAGUGGAACUCCAUGUGUAGCGGUGAAAUGCGUAGAUAUAUGGAAGAACACCAGUGGCGAAAGCGGCUCUCUGGUCUGUAACUGACGCUGAGGUUCGAAAGCGUGGGUAGCAAACAGGAUUAGAUACCCUGGUAGUCCACGCCGUAAACGAUGAAUGCUAAGUGUUGGAGGGUUUCCGCCCUUCA
This 653-nucleotide ribosomal RNA is filed under the name uncultured bacterium. RNAcentral's name for it is "bacterial SSU rRNA". It matches the Rfam family "Bacterial small subunit ribosomal RNA", at positions 202 to 842 of the family's 1533-position model. The record is from RNAcentral.